CUCCUACGGGAGGCAGCAGUGGGGAAUAUUGGACAAUGGGCGAAAGCCUGAUCCAGCAAUGCCGCGUGAGUGAUGAAGGCCUUAGGGUUGUAAAGCUCUUUUACCCGGGAUGAUAAUGACAGUACCGGGAGAAUAAGCUCCGGCUAACUCCGUGCCAGCAGCCGCGGUAA
This 170-nucleotide ribosomal RNA is filed under the name uncultured bacterium. RNAcentral describes it as "partial 16S ribosomal RNA". It matches the Rfam family "Bacterial small subunit ribosomal RNA", at positions 336 to 523 of the family's 1533-position model. The record is from RNAcentral.